UUCUAAUUAACUAGUCCGCCCAAUAAAAACCAAAAAUUAUCAAAUAAACCCCCAUGGCCUCACACCCACGAAUUAAAACAUUCUUCAUCCUCAGUAAAGGCGAUUGAAAAGGAACCAGGAACAAUAUAACAAGUACCGCAAGGGAAUGUUGAAAUAGAGAUGAAAAAGCCCAGUUAAGAGCAGCGAAGCAGAGAUUAAACCUCGUACCUUUUGCAUCAUGAUUUAGCAAGAAAAAUUAGGCAAGAAGCUCCUUAGUCUAAAACCCCGAAACUUAGUGAGCUACUCCAAACCAGCAUAAUUAUUUAGUGCCUACCCGUCUCUGUUGCAAAAGAUGUGGGGAGAGUUUUGAGUAGAGGUGACAAGCCUACCGAACUAAGUUAUAGCUGGUUUUCUGAGAAAUGAAUAUAAGUUCAGCCUUUAAAAUUCUUCAUUUCCUUACCCCUAAAUGAACAAAAGAAUAAAAAGAAAUUUAAAGAGUUAAUUAAAGGGGGGACAGCCCCUUUAAUACAAGAAACAACUACUAUUAGAAGGGUAAAGAUCAUAUAUAACUAAGGUUAAUUACUCAUGUAGGCCUAAAAGCAGCCAUCAAACCAGAAAGCGUUAAAGCUCGCGUAAAUCCCCUCCAGAAAUGACGAAAAACAAUUCUUAACCCACUACAAACACUAUCAGAAUAUCUUAUAAUUUAUAAGAGAAAUAAUGCUAAUAUUAGUAAUAAGAGAACAGACUCUCUCCUUACACAAGUGUAACUCGCAAUGGACUAACCCCCCGAGAAAUAACGGCCCCAAACAAUAAAGAGGGAAUAGAAACCAAAACCAAAACCCAGAAAACCUUACUGACUAUUACCGUUAACCUUACACUAGAGUGUACCCAAGGAAAGAUUAAAAAGAAGAGAAGGAACUCGGCAAAUUCUAAGCCCCGCCUGUUUACCAAAAACAUCGCCUCUUGCCAUACCCAUAUAAGAGGUCGUACCUGCCCAAUGAUACACAUUUAAUGGCCGCGGUAUUCUGACCGUGCAAAGGUAGCGUAAUCACUUGUCCUUUAAAUGAGGACCCGUAUGAAUGGUUUGACGAGGGCUUAACUGUCUCCUCUCCUAAAUCAAUGAAAUUGAUCUCUUCGUGCAAAAGCGAAGAUAAAAACAUAAGACGAGAAGACCCUGUGGAGCUUAAGAUAAAAAUAUAGACUUAGACCAGAGACUUUAAAAAUAAAUAAAGCCAAAAACUUUUAUAUAAUAUCUUCAGUUGGGGCGACUACGGAGAAUAAAAAACCUCCGCGAAGACAAGAACAUAAAUUCCCAAAACUUAGAAACACCCUUCAACCCAAUAGAAUUUCUAACUUUUAUUGAUCCAACCUGUUGAUCAACGGAAAAAGUUACCCCAGGGAUAACAGCGCAAUCCCCUUUCAGAGUCCCUAUCGACAAGGGGGUUUACGACCUCGAUGUUGGACCAGGACAUCCUAAUGGUGCAGCCGCUAUUAAGGGUUCGUUUGUUCAACGAUUAAAGUCCUACGUGAUCUGAGUUCAGACCGGAGUAAUCCAGGUCAGUUUCUAUCUAUAAAAUGUUCUCCUCUAGUACGAAAGGACCGAGUAGAAAAGGUCUAUACUACAUGUAAACCUUACUUAAAAUUAACGAAAUCAACUUAAACAAUCAAAAAAGCAUACUAACCUAGCUAAAGAAAAUAGCA
Molecule: ribosomal RNA, 1680 nt
Filed under: Cynoglossus abbreviatus (three-lined tongue sole)
Lineage: Eukaryota; Metazoa; Chordata; Actinopteri; Pleuronectiformes; Cynoglossidae
Description: 16S ribosomal RNA
Rfam family: Bacterial large subunit ribosomal RNA (bases 98-1566)
Source: RNAcentral